Molecule: long non-coding RNA, 1145 nt
Organism: Nicotiana tabacum (common tobacco)
Lineage: Eukaryota; Viridiplantae; Streptophyta; Magnoliopsida; Solanales; Solanaceae
Source: RefSeq, a predicted model, not a curated record
CGAAACAAAUUAGACCCACAACGGCGGCUCCCGUGAUAUAAUUCUUCUAGGUCUCCUUCACUCUGCUCCCAUCGUUGAGUUCUUGCUAGCCUUUGGAAUCCUCUGCUAAUGGUGCCUUAUCCGUCGAUUGUUUCUUUUCUGCCUUUGAUACUGUCGUAGACAAGAAGGAUUGAGAAAGCAAAGUUGCGACUUGGGACGAGAAGGCUACAGACGAUAUAUUAUUUAAAAUUAAGAUAAGAUUUCCUUCUGAAGUUUGAUGUCUCCACUGAUUCGAAUAUGAAGUCUUUCGAUCUCUCUUUCUCUGCUACAUUUAGGUAUCAUCGUGAUUAAUUAUUCACACAUCUUUGUUCAUUGAUAAUCAUACAAUUAAGUUUAGUUAUUUUAAGCUUUUUAUAGUGUGUAGCUUUGAUGAUAUUAUUUGCCUGCAAAAUUGGUGCUUUCUUGAAAUAUUUGCGUUUAUGCAGCGCUUUCAUUUGUUCUUUAGUUUGGAGUGCUUGAGGGGAAGGUAAAGAUAUUUUUUGGGGGGUUUUCUAAGCAAAUUUUAUUUUGUUUUUGAUAAAGCAUUCAGUUAAUUUUGUUUGAUUUUCCAUCUUGCUUUAGAGUAAGAAAUUUAUUGUCUAACUCUAAUUAGAGUAAUGAAUGUUGUCAGGUUUUUCAUCUAAAGAUACUCAAAUGGUUGAUUGUUGGCUCAUAUGUCUAUUCCAACGUAUAGAUUAAUCAUUAGCGUCACUAUCUUGGUGGGAGGAAUGUGGAAAUGAGGGUUACAUUUAGAUGUGUGCUGGUUAUGGAGCUCAAUUUAGAGGGAAUUUAUUACUUAAAGUUGAAAUUCUGCAAUAAUUAGUGGUAUUAGCCAUCAUUUGAUCAUCACCUUGGACAAUCUUUUUCUAGAAAGUCAGUAGAUUAUCAAAUGAGUAGGCACUCAAACGACAUGGGGAGGAAGCUUCUAAAAGAAAGUAGCAGAAGGAGGGGAAACAGAGCCGAAGAAGUGAAAAUAUCUCUUGUCCCAAUAUUAGUUUGAAUCCAGCAAUGUUUAAUUGUAAAGAUGUAUAGCUAUUCACAAUUUUAUUCUUGUAUAUGGAUCAUAUGUUUGCAAAUAUUUUAUUUUUGUUUAAAUUGUCUAUAGUGAAUGACAUUUGUAAGUACAA